This is a long non-coding RNA of Pezoporus occidentalis (night parrot), 2329 nucleotides long. RefSeq lists it as uncharacterized. The record is from RefSeq and is a predicted model, not a curated record. NCBI's taxonomy places the organism in Eukaryota, Metazoa, Chordata, Aves, Psittaciformes, Psittacidae. The transcript has 3 exons.
CCUGACCUUGAACACUGCCAGGGAUGGGGCAGCCACAGCUUCUCUGGGCACCCUGUGCCAGCACCUCAGCACCCUCACCUGGAUCAUGGGCCACAAUGCACCCCUCAGCAAACCUCCCAAUGAUGUCAAAUGCAGGGUAAUGUGUUCACUUGCUCCCAGAAACCCAAAAAGGGCAAAUCUGAAAGCAGACCUCAGAACAAGCGGUAAAGUCUAUGUUUUAACCGUGAAACUGUUUCUCUGUGUCUCUCUUUUCCACGCCAGCAUCUGGUAGAUGAUUGUUAAGCCACUGCUGCUGCUGCAAAACUUUAUGUAACCAGUUCUGCUUUCAGUUCUGUUUAUUAAAAAAGGAGAAUUAUUGGCAAAGUAGUAAUAAACACCUCCGGCUUUAUUGCUUGCUUUUAGUUAAUAUCCUUUUCUCUCUCCAAAGUAUUUCCUAGGCAGAUAUAUCACUCUGAGGCUCCCAGUGUGCAGAAUGUUAGUAAAGUUUGCUGGAACAAGAAGUUAUCUCAAUGUAGAGCCCUGGGACACUGCAAUUUAUUGAGCUGCUUUGCUGGGUAGGUUUCCCUCUCCCCUGCCUGCCAGUGGAUGUCACACUUAACACAAACCUGGCAUAACCAAUGAGGCAGAUUCCUACUCCUUCCAUUAAAAAGUGUGCUUGUGCUGAAACUUUACAGCCUCCUCAAAGCAAGCUUUGACUGUAGCCUGAGGAAAGGCAACAAAAUCCAACGUAGACUGUGUAGGCAAUGAGGAUUUAUUUUCUCUUUUAUGGAACUAGACUGACACCUUCCUAACAGAUACACGCAAUAGUACUGUGAGGAAUUACCAGAUUUCUUUGUGAGAAAAGCUUUUUCCCCUGUUUUGUCAGUGACCUGUAUCCAUGCAAGGGAAUUCUGUUACAAAUAGAGCUGAACACACAUGCUCACCUCAGUAACACUUUCUUCAUUAUUUCAUUAUCAGAGCAAUGCAGUCCCUGGGAUUUCCUUCUAACUGCUUCCAUGGUGGCUCGAUGUAUUCUAUCCUGGCAAAGCAUCGUGGCACAGGUAGCUCCAGGCAGUGAGGCAUUGCUGCUGUUAGCUUCUGUGCCCGGAGAAAAGCAGUGUCAAGAACAGCGGAGCUUUAAGGCACUUGAACAUGCGUACACUGGUGAUCCUGGAGGCAGAAGGUGUGCAUCAUGCUUUGCAGAGGAGUCACAAAGGCAAGGAUCUUCAAAGAGCACACAAAAGCAAAGGUGGAAACAGAGGGAAGGAACUCCUCUUGGGUCUUGUGCUCCUGGGAAGUUUAUGGGCCCAUGGGGGUGAGUGCUGUGCGCCAUCCAAAUGACUCUGGUAUCUCUUCUUGACUAAGACUUGCGAGUAAAUUUGGGUCCAGAUUUCUUUCCUUCGCUACCUCCCUUAUAGAUUCCACCUGGAGAUUUUAAAUGUCAGUCAAAAUCCUGAGGCUUAAUCUCAAAAGCAACAGUGAAUUAUUAUCAUUAUUAUUAUUGCUGCUUUUAGUGGCUAAAUUAGUUUCAUCUUCUAUAUCCCUGGAAUAAGUUAAAGCACAUUUUCAAGAUGUUCACAAUCUCUGCAGUGGCUAACACCACAGAAAAUAAUUAAUGAAAGAGUAAAAAACCACGAUCGACCCCCAGAAGAAUGUUUCUAGUCUGAAACUCAGAAAAUUAGAUCCCUAUUUUUUAAGUUAGUUAAAAGGUCAAGCAAUAUCACAUACUUUCAAGGAAGAUAUUUCUUUCUAAAUGCCCUGCACUCCCAAUUUUCUUAUUCCUUGGCUCCACGAGGUGAUGGGCUCUGUUCUCAUUUCAGGGUAUAUGUUGUAUAUUGAGCAGGUGGGUGCCCAGUUUUGUCUUUAAAUAGAAAGACAUUAUUUUCUCAGAACCCCAUCUAUAUUUUGACAAAUACUGACGAAUUUCUGCCGUACCUCUCUACCACAGAGACACAGGAGUUGAUUCUGAAGGAAGCCCACUGGCAAGCUGUCAUAAAGAAAGCUGUGAAAAUCCAGAGGGAAGUAUUAUUAAAGUCUUGUUUAUAAUUUUGUAAUGAAAACCAGAAUCCCUGUGAGUCCACGCUCAACUUCAGGCAAUCCCUCAAGAGUAGAAAGCUUUAAAAGCUUUGUAUAGGGUACUUACAGUAUAACUGUGUACCUUAAUAUACCUUUAUAUAAGUAUCCUUACACUAGAAAGAUACUGAAAGUUGGCUUUAAUUAAGGGAGUGAUCCCUAGGGGAGGGGACAGGGAAAGAGGGAAAUUUUCCUUGCUUGGAAACCUGAACCAGAAAAAGGGCAAUUAGUUGUUGAAUGAUAUUGCAAAUACCAAAUCAGACUAAUCCUACAGUAA